AGGGCGAACGCUGGCGGCGUGCUUAACACAUGCAAGUCGAGCGGAAAGGCCCUUUCGGGGUACUCGAGCGGCGAACGGGUGAGUAACACGUGAGCAACCUGCCCCUGGCUCUGGGAUAGCCUUCGGGAAACGGGGAUUAAUACCGGAUAUUCACUGCUUCCUGCAUGGGGGGUGGUGGAAAGUUUUUCGGCUGGGGUGGGCUCGCGGCCUAUCAGCUUGUUGGGGGGUGACGGCCCACCAAGGCGACGACGGGUAG
Molecule: ribosomal RNA, 256 nt
Filed under: uncultured bacterium
Lineage: Bacteria
Description: partial small subunit ribosomal RNA
Rfam family: Bacterial small subunit ribosomal RNA
Source: RNAcentral